RNAcentral lists this small nuclear RNA (195 nucleotides) under Neogobius melanostomus (round goby). RNAcentral describes it as "U2 spliceosomal RNA (ENSNMLG00000021426.1)". It matches the Rfam family "U2 spliceosomal RNA". From Rfam's summary of the family: U2 is a small nuclear RNA (snRNA) component of the spliceosome (involved in pre-mRNA splicing). Lineage: Eukaryota; Metazoa; Chordata; Actinopteri; Gobiiformes; Gobiidae. The record is from Rfam by way of RNAcentral.
AUCGCUUCUUCGGCCAUUUUCGGCUAAGAUAAGUGUAGUAUCUGUUCUAUCAGUUUUAAUCAUCUUGAGUACGUCCCUAGCGGAACCAUAUAUAAAUUGAUUUUUGGAGCAGGAGAUGGAAUUCAGGGCUUGCUCCGUUCCAGUCUCCACGCAUCGACUGGGUAUUGCAGUACUUUCUGGAACGGUGCAUGCCCA